GACGAACGCUGGCGGCGUGCCUAAUACAUGCAAGUAGAACGCUGAAGGAGGAGCUUGCUCUUCUGGAUGAGUUGCGAACGGGUGAGUAACGCGUAGGUAACCUGCCUGGUAGCGGGGGAUAACUAUUGGAAACGAUAGCUAAUACCGCAUAAGAGUAGAUGUUGCAUGACAUUUACUUAAAAGGUGCAAUUGCAUCACUACCAGAUGGACCUGCGUUGUAUUAGCUAGUUGGUGGGGUAACGGCUUACCAAGGCGACGAUACAUAGCCGACCUGAGAGGGUGAUCGGCCACACUGGGACUGAGACACGGCCCAGACUCCUACGGGAGGCAGCAGUAGGGAAUCUUCGGCAAUGGACGGAAGUCUGACCGAGCAACGCCGCGUGAGUGAAGAAGGUUGUCGGAUCGUAAAGCUCUGUUGUAAGAGAAGAACGAGUGUGAGAGUGGAAAGUUCACACUGUGACGGUAGCUUACCAGAAAGGGACGGCUAACUACGUG
This 495-nucleotide ribosomal RNA is filed under the name uncultured bacterium. RNAcentral describes it as "partial 16S ribosomal RNA". It matches the Rfam family "Bacterial small subunit ribosomal RNA", at positions 28 to 507 of the family's 1533-position model. The record is from RNAcentral.